UUUCCUGUAGCUCAGUCAGUAGAGCACUUCGCUAACAUCGUAAAGGUUGUAGGUUCAAACAACAGGGAAAG
Danionella cerebrum is the source of this 71-nucleotide non-coding RNA. NCBI's taxonomy places the organism in Eukaryota, Metazoa, Chordata, Actinopteri, Cypriniformes, Danionidae. The record is from the annotation of a GenBank genome assembly.